UAGGUGUUAUAUCUGACAACAAAAUACUUAUUGUUGUGAUUAUUUCAUGAUGACGUCAUGAUCACAGGACACCAGGAGGCAGCAUUUAACCGAUAUGGCAGAAGUAAAAGUGAACAUUUAGAAAUCACUUGAAGGGAAACACUGAGGCGUUCCCAAGUCUCCCAAGAAACAUGCGUCUUUGUCAUUCCUUAGAUUGAAGAUAAUUAAUUCCACUCCUCACAUCUUAGUCCUUCCCACUACAGAUGACAGCAGAGGAGGUGAAUACGAGGCAUGAGACAAGAUUUAACAGAUCUAUUGCGGAGGUGUGGUCCCUGGCUCAGCUGCAAGGGAGAGGUGGUGGAGUGAGCUCAAGGGGGCGGUGCUGGAGAGGCAGGUGGGGCCACAGCUGGUGGUGUUUGAACUGAUGACAAUCUCUUUUACCUUUAUAGUGAAGCGAGAGACCGGCAUGAGAAUGGAGAGCUGAGACCAGUGCCGAACAGACUGUGGGUCGUUAUAUGGUCAAAAUAAGCAGAGGAAGAACAUUUUUCCUCAGACCAAACACCGAGUGGCUUAAAAGGAAAAUAAAUGAGGGAACUCUGCUGUGUCCUCCAGUGUUUUCUAAAUGAAGAUGAUGGAAACGAUGAAACAAAGUUGAAGUAAAGCAGCAACUGGAACCAUUUCUACUGAUUUAUUAGUUCAAACUUUUACAGAAACAUUUGUUAAGAAAUUUUUAUUAUUUUUUUGUAAA
Long non-coding RNA from Pelmatolapia mariae (spotted tilapia), 727 nucleotides. RefSeq lists it as uncharacterized. NCBI's taxonomy places the organism in Eukaryota, Metazoa, Chordata, Actinopteri, Cichliformes, Cichlidae. The record is from RefSeq and is a predicted model, not a curated record. The transcript is spliced from 3 exons.